Molecule: long non-coding RNA, 1110 nt
Organism: Homo sapiens (human)
Lineage: Eukaryota; Metazoa; Chordata; Mammalia; Primates; Hominidae
Exons: 3
Source: RefSeq, a predicted model, not a curated record
UCUCCUGAUUUACUUAAAUCUUAUAUUCUCCUUCUCAAUAUCCUUCUAGGAAGUUCUGUCUCUACCCAAUAAUGUCAGGUCAUUUCCUCAGGCCUAGAGCCAUUUGAUUUCCAGACUUCUAUACUCACACUUAUGCUCUCAUUCUCUGUCAUGGUUCAUUUACUACGCAGCAGCUAAUGAGGCCAACCAUGUAUCUACAGCCCAUUGACAUGAAAAAUGGGGAGGAGAGGGUUCCUUAGAUAAAUACAGGGUUAGCAAAGGAAAGUUUCUUAGGAAUCACUUCAGGAUCCAAGAAAAUUCAUUCCAGAGCUUCGAGAGUUUACAACUCAAAAACAACAGCAUAAUAUAUGAGGUGGUGAAUCUUCUUGGCCUUCUCAAUGAAUAACCUCAGAAAUGGUCAGAGAAUAUGCUUCAAAAAGAUCCCUAGCAGAUUGGGCCCACCAGGGGAACAAGCUCUUGGACCUGGGGAUCAAAAGUGCAUCUUGUUGGACUUCUGAGGACUUGCCCUGCAAGGGUCUCUUUCUGGAUCACAAUCCCUCUGUUCCUGGGCAUCCCCUUUUGCUGGAUCCUGUUAUUUAUCUCUGUGUUACUCCAUCUAGGUCUACUCUGUGGACUUCCCUGCAUCUUCACCUGAACCCCAGGAAUCUUCAAGUCAUGCCAAUAUUCCCUCAGUUCUCCUGAAAUGUCUUAUUUUCUCUUCUCCUGAGAUCCCACCAAGUCAUCCCUUCUGAGACCCCUGAGUGUAGCAGGGCCCUCUCUGGUCUCUUUGCUUCAAUUAUGAAUGAGGAGAAUGGGAGGUCCUCUUUGCCGCUCCUACCCCUGUGUUGCCAUCAGGAUCAGCUUCAUGAGGCAGAAUGAGGCUGUCUAGAUCAACAUGGCUUUCCCAACAUUGAGCUCUGUGCCCAGCACAAGGCUAAGAACUGAUGGGACGUUCACCAGGGAGAGCAUCCCUUGGCAGAAAGGGGGCCAUGGGCAUCCUUGUCCUGUAUGGGAGACACUGCUCAGCCUGGGGGAACCUCUGUUCAUGAAGGUGGGAGAAAAAGAUAAACAAAAUUCACUGUGAAUGUCUAUGUAUCAUCACAGAGGAGGCAAUGACAAGAAAAUAGGAAG